RNAcentral lists this ribosomal RNA (425 nucleotides) under uncultured bacterium. RNAcentral describes it as "bacterial SSU rRNA". It matches the Rfam family "Bacterial small subunit ribosomal RNA", at positions 356 to 773 of the family's 1533-position model. The record is from RNAcentral.
GGGGAAUUUUGGACAAUGGACGCAAGUCUGAUCCAGCCAUUCCGCGUGCAGGAUGAAGGCCCUCGGGUUGUAAACUGCUUUUGUACGGAACGAAAAGGUUUCCAUUAAUACUGGGAGCUCAUGACGGUACCGUAAGAAUAAGCACCGGCUAACUACGUGCCAGCAGCCGCGGUAAUACGUAGGGUGCAAGCGUUAAUCGGAAUUACUGGGCGUAAAACGUGCGCAGGCGGUUAUGUAAGACAGAGGUGAAAUCCCCGGGCUCAACCUGGGAACUGCCUUUGUGACUGCAUAGCUAGAGUACGGUAGAGGGGGAUGGAAUUCCGCGUGUAGCAGUGAAAUGCGUAGAUAUGCGGAGGAACACCGAUGGCGAAGGCAAUCCCCUGGACCUGUACUGACGCUCAUGCACGAAAGCGUGGGGAGCAAAC